Pelobates cultripes (western spadefoot toad) is the source of this 322-nucleotide non-coding RNA. The record is from the annotation of a GenBank genome assembly. NCBI's taxonomy places the organism in Eukaryota, Metazoa, Chordata, Amphibia, Anura, Pelobatidae.
ACACACAAUCACUCAGACACAAACUCACAUUCACUGACACUCAUUUACAGACACACACUGACAGACACACAGUCACUCAGACACACACGCUACCUCACAGAAACUGACAGACAUACACAAACACACACUCGCUCACAGUCACAAACAUUCACUCACAGACACACUGACAGACAGACACACAUUCACUGACAGACAGACUUACAGACACACACUGAUAGAUAUACACACAGACUCACAGACAGACACACUAACAUAAAAAUACACACACUGACAAACAUACAUACACGCAGACUCACUGACAGACAGACACAUACAUAAUCCC